UUCAGGACUAGAGCAUCCAAACCCAGGGAAGCCCUUCACUGCCAGAGGCUUUCCCCGACACUGCUACCUCCCAGACAGCGACAAAGGACGCAAGGUGCUGAGACUGCUCCUAGUAGCGUGGGACCGCAGGUUGAUCUUUUCAGUUGGUACUUCGAGCACUACGGGAGAAUCUGACACUGUCAUCUGGAAUGAGGUCCACCAUAAGACAGAGUUUGGCUCCAACCUGACGGGCCACGGCUUCCCCGACCCUGGACACCUCGACAACGUUCUGGAAGAGCUUCGAGCUCAGGGCAUCACAGAGGAUGAUGGACUGAUGGAAAAGUGAAAGGAUCAAAGACCAGCAGAGAAAGAGGAGACAUCAGCGAGAGCAGUGGAGAGUGGAAGGGUGAAUAAGAAGUAAAGGAAGAGAAGUGGACCUAACCAUGAAAAUAACAGAAGUAGAAGGAGGAACAUAGGAGGUCCUGGACUGAAAGGGACUCUCUCUGCCAGCACUUAUAAGGGGUGCAAGGGGACUUUUCGGGAUAUAGAAGAUACUGAUUUUGUUUUGCAGAGGUAACCACUUUUCAAGAUACUGAUUCAAUCACUGCUGGGUUCGCCUGUUAAUGCAAGUUUGUCCAGACAUCA
Molecule: long non-coding RNA, 624 nt
Organism: Lates calcarifer (barramundi perch)
Lineage: Eukaryota; Metazoa; Chordata; Actinopteri; Centropomidae
Exons: 3
Source: RefSeq, a predicted model, not a curated record